Molecule: long non-coding RNA, 200 nt
Filed under: Cicer arietinum (chickpea)
Lineage: Eukaryota; Viridiplantae; Streptophyta; Magnoliopsida; Fabales; Fabaceae
Description: long non-coding RNA (CARI_LNC001935)
Source: RNAcentral
AAGAUCAAUCAUUUCAAUCAUACUCAAGCAUCUCAAUAUCAUUCUUAAAGCUUGUUGUUUUUAAUCUUUGUGUUGUGUUAGAAUCAAUCACAACUGAGUUCUAUUUACAUAAUCUAUUUCUCAAACAAGAGUUGAGUAAAUACCCAAAUUCUAAACAUUCUCAAAUCCACCACUUUGUAUCUCAAGGUUAUUUUGUUAAC